Molecule: ribosomal RNA, 253 nt
Filed under: uncultured bacterium
Lineage: Bacteria
Description: partial 16S ribosomal RNA
Rfam family: Bacterial small subunit ribosomal RNA
Source: RNAcentral
UACGUAGGGGCCGAGCGUUGUCCGGAGUUAUUGGGCGUAAAGCGCGCGCAGGCGGCCUCGCGCGCCCGACGUGAAAGCCCCCGGCUUAACCGGGGAGGGUCGUUGGGGACGGCGGGGCUUGAGGGCGGGAGAGGGUGGUGGAAUUCCCGGUGUAGUGGUGAAAUGCGUAGAGAUCGGGAGGAACACCCGUGGCGAAGGCGGCCACCUGGGCCGACCCUGACGCUGAGGCGCGAAGGCGUGGAGAGCGAACGGG